Molecule: ribosomal RNA, 254 nt
Filed under: uncultured bacterium
Lineage: Bacteria
Description: partial 16S ribosomal RNA
Rfam family: Bacterial small subunit ribosomal RNA
Source: RNAcentral
CACGUAGGGCGCGAGCGUUGUCCGGAAUUAUUGGGCGUAAAGAGCUCGUAGGCGGCCUGUUGCGUCCGCUGUGAAAGCCCGGGGCUUAACCCCGGGUCGGCAGUGGAUACGGGCAGGCUAGAGGUAGGUAGGGGAGAAUGGAAUUCCCGGUGUAGCGGUGAAAUGCGUAGAUAUCGUUUGGAACGCCAAUGGUGAAAACAACGUUGCUGGGGGUGUGCUGACGCUGAGACACGAAAGCCAGGGGAGCAAACGGG